UUGUUGUUAGUAUUGAAGCAAUUUUGGUGCAAACCAAAGGAUAACAAAGCAAAACAAUGAAAAUCACCCAGAGUUCCAUUACCCACACUGAACCAACUUGAAUAUAUUGGUUUAUUUUGGCUUUUUUCCAUAUGAAAUGUUAAAUUUUCUUGUACUCACGUGUAGAAUAUGAUAGUUUGCUCUUUCAUGUAACAUGUCUCCCAAUUUUUACAUACAUAAUUCUAGUUUCAGUAAGCAUUUUUAUAACUACACUCUUUUUCCUUUGUUAUUGUAUGUCUAGGUUAUUUCAACUUUGCACUGUUGCUUGUAACUACUAUGUGAUGAGGCAGUAGCUAGAUUAGUAUUUAGAACGUGAGCAUUCAAGUCAGGCAGACCUGGGCUUCACAACUUACUGUGCAAUUUCAAAGAGUUUAACUUUUUGCCUGUAGUGUUUUCUAAAAAUAGAAUUAUAUUAUAAAUUGGGUUUAUCAACUUGCUGAAAAUGGCAGAGGCCAGUGCGAUGAGAGUAGGGUGAUUAAGGGAGUAGGAAGUAAUGCAGGAAAGGGAGUUUGUAGGAUUUAGAUUUCACUGAAAGUGUACUGGACAGGUUGGGCAUAGUGGCUCAGGCCUGUAAUUGUGUCACUUUGGGAGGCUGAAGUGGAAAGAUCCCUUAAGCCCAGGAGUUCGAGCCAGCCUGGGCAACAUAGGGAAACCCUAUCUCUAUAAAAUAAAAAUAAAAAUAAUUAUUUUGAAAAAAAAGUUUACUGGACAGAGUAAGUUCAGGGUUGAGGAGUGACCUGAUUUGUUUUAGAAGGCUCAUUUGGCUGCCAUAUGGAGAUAGACUGCAAGGGACCAGGGGAGGAAGAUGCAAUCCAAUUAGGAGAGUAUUUAAGUAAUCUCUGUGAGAGAUGGUGUUAGUUUCGAUCAGGGUGUAAGUAGGGAAAAAUGAUUGGGUUCUGGAUAUAUUUUGAAGGGAGAAGUUAUAGGAUUCACUGAUUGAUGGGAUGUGGAAUUCAAGAGAAAGUGACUUAAAGAAUUUUGGUUUGGGCAGUUAAACAGAUACAGUUGCUACUUACCAAGAUAGAGACUGAAAGUUGGGGGAAACUAAAUAGAGUUCUGUUUCAGUCAUGUUACCUGUUGUGGAGUCUAACUAGUUGGAACAGGAGUAUGAAAGACUUAAUCUUCUGUUCUUGAGGUAUCAAUUUGUCCCUUCAUUUCUGUCAGUUUUUGCUACAUAUAUUCUGUUACUAGGUGCAUCUAUCCUUGUAAAUUGUUACAUCUUCCUUGUGGGUUUAUCCUUUUUUGCUUCUCUGCUCCUAGGGAUCAUAGUGCUGUGCUAUCUGUUGUCCAGCAUCUGACACAGUUGGUUUUAUAUUUUGUCUGGUUUUCUAGUUAUUAAGCAGGUUAAGUCUGGUUCCUGCUGUUCUAUAUAGCAGGAAGCAAAGGUUCUCUCAUGAAUUUUUAGCAUAAUAACAUAAGCGUGGAUUCCAAAAAUUCAUUACACAGAUCCUGGAAAUCUGUUUACUAUGUUUUAUACAUUCUGUGAAAGCUGGAGAAUAUAUAUUUGUUUUACUAUGUGUAUCGCAAAUAAAAUAUCAAUUUCAUGUGCCAGAGAAUUGAAUACAUUAUCAAAGGGUCAUUUCAUAACGUUAUAAUCACCAUCCAUCCUGUAAGUCCUUUGAAAUUUCUUCUUUUCUAUGGAUCUAACAUUGAUCAAUAACGAAUUCCUAAGCAUCUAUAUUAGUUAGCCCAGUGUUUCUCAAAGUCCACCGCAUGUAAAAAUCAUCUAGGGAAUCUUUCUAAAAUGUGGAUUCUGAUUUAGUAGGUCUGGGGUGAGGUCUUCCCUUUUGCAAUUCCAGCAAGGAAAAUCUCAGAGAUAUGUUGGAUUUCAUCACAUUUAUUCUAUGGCUUAAUGUUGUUUUAUUUUGAAUAUAUAAUAAGAGAGAUACCACAAAUCUUUAGCUAUUAAUAUUUAGGGAUGUUAAUGUCCUUAAUUCAUAUUGUCUCAAAUGUGAUUCAUUCCCUCUAUAGGUAUACUAAAACAGGCAUUCAUGCCUACAAAACCAUCUUCCUAACUUUCUUUCCUCUUUUUAGUCUCUUCCUGAACCAGUGACAGUGGUUCUCAAACAUUUUGGUCUGAGGACCCCUUUAUGGCCUUAAAAAUGAUCGAAGAGCUUUUAUUUAUGAAGGUAAUACCUGCUAAUACUUGUUGUAAUCUAUUAACAUUGAGAAAUGUAAAAAUUUUUAUUAAUUCACUUAAAAUAUCAAUAAACCCAUUAUUUGCUAAUAUAAAUUGCACUUUUUAAUGAAAAAUAACUUUAGUUUCUACUGUGUGCUUCUGCAUUUUGAAAAUAUGUCUAGGAUACGGUAUGUAUUUAGGAGAUAUUUUCUAAAUAAAUGCAUAUUCAUUUUUUAAAAUGGGACAAAUGUAGCAUAGACAUAUUUUUGCUAACACCCGAGACAGAUCCUGGCUACGUUGCCCAGGCUGGAGUGCAGUGGCGCGAUUUUGGCUCACUGCAACCUCUGCCUCCCAGGUUCAGGCAAUUCUCCUGCCUCAGCCUCCUGAGUAGCUGGGAUUACAGAGGCCUGCCACCAUGCCUGGCUAAUUUUUGUAUUUUUAGUAGAGAUGGGAUUUCACCAUGUUGGCCAGGGUGGUCUCAAACUCCUGACCUCAGGUGAUCCAGCCGCCUCGGCCUCCCAGAGUGUUGGGAUUACAAGCAUGAGCCAGCACGCCUGGCCUGAAAAUACAUUUUGAUGAACAAAAAAUUUUUAAUUUUUUUUUUUUUUUUUUUCCUGAGACAGAGCUUUGCUCUGUCACCCAGGCUGGAGUGCAAUGGCGUGAUCUUGCCUCACUGCAACCUAUGCCUAUGGAAAUCUCUUUUAUUUUUUCUAAGACCUUUUAUUAUGAAUUUAAUGUUGAAUUUUAUCAAAUGCUUUCUCUGCAUUUAUUAGAAUAAUUAUGAUUUUUCUCUAUCUGUUAUUAUAAUGGGUCAGAUUUAUAGAUUUUUCUCAUACUAAGCCUAUCCUUGUAUUCCUUGGAUAAAUCUAACUUGGUAAUGUUUACUUUUUUCAUAACUUUUAGCUAUUAAGUAGAUACCAAAUUUUCUUUCAAGGUCAAGUUUGAUAGUUAUAAAAAACUAGUGAUACUAAGUCAUAGAAAAUAUAUAAAAUGAAGAAGGUAUAGGUAACUAUAAUAUGAAGAAUGCAUUGGAAGUGUAAAUUUUAAAGGAGUUUGCUGAUUAAUAACUCUUUUGUUGUAACUUUUGUUCAAUGAUGUUUGACAAAUACUUUUUUUUUUUUUAAUUUGAGGCAGAGUCUCACUCUGUUGCCCAAACUGGAAUGCAGUGGCAUGAUCUCAGCUCACUGCAACCUCCGCCUGUUGGGCUCAGAGAUCUUCCCGCCCCAGCCUCCCGAGGAGCUGGAACUACAGCCUUGUGCCACCACACCCAGCAAAUUUUUGUAUUUUAUUGCAGAGAUGGCAUUUCACCAUGUUGCCCAGGCUGGUCUUGAACUACUGGACUUAAGCAAUCCGCCCACCUGGGCCUCCCAAAGUGCUGAGAUUACAGGCAUGAGCCACCGCGCCUGGCUGACAAAUACUUUUUAAAAAUAUCCAAGUUUCUGGAUUUUAUUCACCUCUACAAAAAUGAUUUAAGUCCUGUAGAAACAUGUGCCCACAAAUGACACAGUAAUCUCCAGCAAUGUGUUCAACAGCACGUUGAGCAUAAUUGAGCAUAACAGACAUUUUUAAAUUUGUUGUCUCAAAUUCCAUUUAGAUUUGGCUAUUGAUGCAAAAUUAGGGAGGUCAUUUUUCACUAGAUUACUUUCAAUGCUGGAAUCCAUACUUAAAAAAAAAAAAAGAGUGUGGCCAGCCUGCUUUCUGAUUGAUCAGUGCCCAUACCAAUGGUUAAAAUUUUGGAUAUCAUUCUUAAAUGUAUCAUACCACAUUGUUGGUAAUAUUUCGUGUGCUUAUUAGAAAGUAUUUUUCUGUUAAAUAUAUAUAUGUGUGUAUAUUUUUAAGUCUUCCGACAGACUUCUUUGACAUGUUAUGUCUUCAGGAAGCCAUAGGCUCUCAUGGGAAAUUGGUGUCUGGAAUUAUCACUGCAUUAAUGUAAUAAUAUAUAUUUACUAGAACAGUGGUUUGACAUAUGAAAAUCUUAAUUUAUACACCAAGCAUACUUGAAUGUAGACUUUUCCUUCUCUAUAGACCAGAAACCAUGGCAUUUAUUUGGAAUUGCUUGAUGUCACUUUAAAUUGAGACAUUCAAUCCAUUCCUCUUUUGAAUAUGAAAAACUUUUUC
Molecule: long non-coding RNA, 4276 nt
Filed under: Homo sapiens (human)
Lineage: Eukaryota; Metazoa; Chordata; Mammalia; Primates; Hominidae
Description: non-protein coding lnc-FAM217A-1:10
Source: RNAcentral